Molecule: unclassified non-coding RNA, 601 nt
Filed under: Hevea brasiliensis (rubber tree)
Lineage: Eukaryota; Viridiplantae; Streptophyta; Magnoliopsida; Malpighiales; Euphorbiaceae
Source: RNAcentral
GGGGUGUGUUGUGGUUGGGUUGUUGUGUGUGGUGUUCUGCUAAGUGCCAUCAAGUAUUGUUUUUAUUAGAUUUACAACUAAUCAUUUCAUGAUCUCCCUGUGGGCAUACUUUAGCGAGGAAUAAAUAAUGCUAGAGCUUGUGAUAUAAUAUAAAAGUUGGCCUUGGUGACUCUGUUGUUUUAGGUGUCAUGAUAAAGCUUUGGAUUCUUCCUGCAGAGUGCAAAGAAUUUUAUGCUAUGGUUAUUUUAAAGGACAUCAGCAUAAACUGGUAAUUAUAAUUCUAGAUGGAGUAUAAAUUUUAUCGAGUUGCAUGUCUGUGGUUCAUCCCAAAAAACCAUGGAUGUAUUUAAUCAUGGUAUACAGAUCACUUGUGUUUUGAAGUUGAGAUCUUUCUUGGAAUAAUGUGGAGCAAUAUAUCUGUACCAAGAUGAACUUUUGUAUGAAUAUCAAAUUCCUAAUAUGUGUAUCUUUCACUUAUGAUUGUACUUGUAUAGAUUUUUCAGGCAUAGGAAACUGUUGCUAACGACAUGAAUAAUGAUUUUAGGGCUACUGUUCUUAUAUAUCCCGAAUUUUAUCCAAUUUUAUUGAUUCAGUUCAUGAG